RNAcentral lists this long non-coding RNA (4002 nucleotides) under Homo sapiens (human). RNAcentral's name for it is "HSALNT0333226". The record is from RNAcentral. Lineage: Eukaryota; Metazoa; Chordata; Mammalia; Primates; Hominidae.
UGGAAGCAGUUGUGGAAAACUGCUUUAAAUGUCAUAGAGCACUCAGAAGGAAUUCAUAAAUGACCUCAUAAAGAAGUCCACUGUGGUUUCCCUGCAGAGGUGGGAAUAGAAUCAGAGUGCUAAGGAUUGAGGGAUUAAGAGGAGGUGAUUGUAUUAUUCCUCUUUUCAGAUAAUGGAGAGAGAGAAGAGAACAGCAGUAGCCGUUGCCAGAAAUAUUGAGCAAGGCGGAUUUAUUAGAUGAAGAUAUCAAAAUACUUUCCAUUGAGGAAACAGGUUGGAGGUGGGAGGCUGUAACCAUGCUUGAUUUUGUACCACCCUAACCUUUGCUUGAUCCAGGUUCCAGUCCAAUAUGCACCAUUCAGCCUGGUUGCAGCAUGUUAAGCAGCCCUGGAGGCAGCAGAUGAGGGAUCCUAUGAAGCAACUUUCAGACAUUCAGAACCAAGACAAAAAAAAAGAGAAUUAAAGUAAAAUAUGAUGUACCCAGGAGUUACAUCAGUGAACCAAAUACAGCCUCAAAUUUCGAUCUGUGCUUCACAGCAGCCAGCAAAAAGAACAAAACAUAUUUUGUUAGUUCAUAUAAAUAAAUAAAUUAAAAAUGCAUGAAUAAAUAAAUAAAGCAAACCAGUUUCUCGAUUCUGAAAUAUUUUCUGGAAGUGAGAACUGAAAGGAAUUUCCACCAUGGACCCACAAGCAGUUGUUGGUGGCAUAUAUAAUGAGUGCUGGGUGUUAAGGAAGCAAUGGUGAAGGAGAGACACCCUCCCGACCCUCAUGGUGCUUGCAGCCUAGUGGAGCUAUGAAAAGAUAGGCAAGUGAGUCCUAUGAUUGGAGAAGUAAUGAGAAGUAAUGAGAAGCGUCUUCUAAGCAUAGGGGUAAAGACUGCAAAGACCCUGAAGGGAGAAAGUAAUGGCCAUUCUGAGAACUGAAAGUUUGCACAGUGCACAGAGGGCAUGAAGAACGAAGGAAAGAGAUUUUUUUUUUUUUUUUUUUGCCCAAGAUGGCAAGUUGCUUAAAACCUAAAGCUCCUUUCAAUUCUUUACAAUCCAAGAUUAUAUGGAAUGGACUGGGAACAAAGAGAGGGACUGGCAUUUAAAGUCUUUUAAAGAGUAUUGGACAUCAUUUCUUGCCACAGACUGAGUACUUCACUGUUACUAACUAUGGUUGGACUCCAGUUGAACCUGUUCUGAAUUAAUCUGAAGUUCUUAUUGAAAUUGAAAAGAAUAUUUAAGGGUCAACUCCUGGUUCUGUUGACAUGAAUAAAGUAUGCAUAGAAAGUCCUGUCAUCAUCACAGUACACUUUGGAACAAAUGUUAUUCUCCAUUCAUCCUGACACUAAAUUGGUUAGCCAAACCCAAAGAUCUACUAAUAAUCCUGCUUUGGCAUGGGAGAAUGAGUGAGAUAAGGAGGCAAUAGAGGAGAUGAAUCGACAAAUGGAAGGAAUAGAAUUCUGGUUGAUGUCCUUGUCUCUAAGCUGUAGCAGCAAGUAUUUAUCCUAAUCAUGUGGUGUUAGCACGGAGAUGAGAAAGAGAGAAAGACAACAUCAUGCUUUGCUGUCUGUGUGUGAACUGAGUAACAGCUGUGAAGGAUCAGUCACCAAAAGACUUUGAAAGAAGAGGCUUGAUUGGUCACGGUAAUGAUGCUCCCCUGGCCAUGGAAGUUUAAUUGGGAGAAAAGAACAUCUGCUUAUACGAAAACAUAUUAUAUUCAGCCAUCCCUGCCCUGACUUUGGCCUUUAAAAACAGUGGCAUUAAUUAUCUCAACAAAUGAAUCUUCGGGAUAAAAAUAAUCUAAAUAUUAUUUUACGCUUACUACAUAUUUGCAACGUGCUAAGCUCUUUAUGGUUGCUACCACAAAAAACAUUUAUAAUAUGAGACUUCACAAGGUUAGGAACAGGCUUCACUUCAUUGUGAUGUGUGUAAGGUGACAGAGGACAUAUAACGAAUACGUGGAAGAACUAGGAAUUUGACCUUAGCUUCCAGACAUUUUGAGGAGGAUACACUAUGUCCAUCUUGCUUUCCUAUCAAGAAAAGUAUACCCAGUUUGUGCAGUAGCCCUGUACCAACAGAUACAUUACAGCAGGUUGUUUCCGUAUUUUGGCUAUUGUGAAUAGUGCUGCAAUAAACAUGGAAGUGCUGAUAUAUCUUUGAGAUCUUGACUUCAAACAAAAGAAGAAAAUCUUGCAAUAUAUGACAACACGGAUUAACCUGGAGGACAUUGUGCUUAGUGAAGUUAGCCAGUCACAGACUGACAAGUACUGCACGAUUCCACUUAUGAAGACUACAGUUCCUAUCUUCACAGGUGGCUGUUAGCUCUAAAUGAACUCAUUUAUUUUGAAAGCAUGAUUUAAAGUAUAGUUUUAAACUAUAAGCAUUUCAGAAGUGAUGACCCAUGACUCAAAUCUCAAAAAUAAAUGCUACAGUUCACAGUUGGAAUAUGGACACAAGAAAAAUAAUAGAUGAUGCCACUGAAAGGUAAACAUACCAUUCUGACAUGCAUGAAAAUGAAACGACAAAUUGAUACACGCAGUGCUUGGAAUGGAUGGAGUCCUUCUAAUGAGUGAUUACCUGUGGUAUAACUAUAUUGAUUGUGUUUGUACAUGUCAAAUGGGGCUGGCGAGGAUGAACUUGAAGAAAUCAAUCUUGGAACCUGCUAGGACAGCAGCCUCCUGGUUUCACAGUACUAAAUCAUGACUUCAAAAUUUUGAAGUAAAAGAAAACUGCAAAACUUUGUAAAGGUACCAGUCUCUUCCUGACACUAUUUGCCUUGGCAAAAGAUUCACUGUCAACUUAAAAGACUAACAUGUGCUCAGAUGAUGAUUUGUGGAGGACAGAUAAUUAUGAGUACAUUUAGAAAUACACACUCUUCCAAACCCUGCUCUUUCCAUAUAAUGAAGUUAUUUAUUUCUAUUUUUUAUUUAUUUUUCUAAUAAUUACAAACAUACUUUGGAGACCCACAUUCCUGUAUUAUUCUUUCAACAUACUGAAGAAGAGUUAUUUCUAUGCUUCUUUCUAUGUGUUGGGCUUAAGAUUUAUUAGAAGGAAUGUGUAAAAACAAAGGCAGCAAAGUUUCUAUUUUUAUUGGGAGUCACUCCCGGAGUAAGUGGGGAUAGUUGUGCACACACACACACACACAUUCAUGCACAAAGAAAGAGUGAUCAAGUGUAUAACACACUUUUAGCAGUGUUUUGCUGGAAGAAUAAAGUAUAACUCCUUGUCCGCCCUUUUAUUAUACUGGGGUUCACACUAAGAGAGUCUGAGGACCUGUGGAACUCCCAUUUGCAUGAAAUAACUUUUGCAUCUAUUCUGGAGGAAAACUUCCUAAGGCAGAUUUGGACAGAAAAUUGCUAUCAGCGCAAAUAAAACAAUGCAAAGCCUACUCCGGGGAACGUUGCUCUGCCACCACUACUGAAAUGGGUCAUCCCCUUGGUUUCUGAAUAAAGAAUUAUGAAACCUGGGGCUAGAAUGCUCAGGGAGGAAUUUACCAAUCCAAAUCUUCCCCUUAUGGUAGAGAACAAACUUUCAAGGUUUGUUCUCCACUGUAAGUGUGCGAGGGCUGUUAGGGACCGUAAUAUGGCUGCCGGAGACUGGUGUGUGUACCUCCUUGACUGUACGUCUCAUUUCCAGUUAUGAUUUUACAAUCAUCUCUUUCUCAACCUUUGCUUUUAAAUAUAGGAAGGUACGGCUCACCAUGGAGCGGACAUUUUCUUCAGGAGCGGUACGGUGUCUAAGAUAUGCAGAGGUUGUAUUCUAGUCCUAUAACUCAAUUCUCAAACACAUGGCUUUUAGCCAGGGAUAUCCUAAAGGAAAAUUACACUAUAUGCAACCCCUCCUUACUCCUCAAAUAUUAUCUAUAUUAAACACAGCUGAAAUUUGAGAGUGUCCUUACAGGUGAAAAUUUAACAAUUUAACAAAAGGACACUGCUGAAUGUGUGGGGACAAAGGAAGGAUGAAUCUUUCAUCAUGACAAAAGACUACUUGCCACAUUCUCCCUUAACUUAGAAAAACA